RNAcentral lists this unclassified non-coding RNA (432 nucleotides) under soil metagenome. RNAcentral's name for it is "partial contains 5.8S ribosomal RNA, internal transcribed spacer 2, and large subunit ribosomal RNA". The stretch from base 1 to 120 matches the Rfam family "5.8S ribosomal RNA", at positions 35 to 154 of the family's 154-position model. The record is from RNAcentral.
GAUGAAGAACGUAGCGAAAUGCGAUACGUAAUGUGAAUUGCAGAAUUCAGUGAAUCAUCGAAUCUUUGAACGCAUAUUGCGCUCUCUGGUAUUCCGGAGAGCAUGCUUGUUUGAGUAUCAGUAAACACCUCAACUUCCAUAUCUUUUUUGAAAUGGGAGUUGGACUUGAGUGAUCCCAACGCUUUUCCUCACCGAAAAGUGGCGGGUUACUUGAAAUGCAGGUGCAGCUGGACUUUUCUCUGAGCUAUAAGCAUAUCUAUUUAGUCUGCCUAAAAAACAGAUUAUUACCUUUGCUGCAGCUAACAUAAAGGAGACUAGUUCUUGUGCUGACUGAUGCAGGAUUCACAGAGACAGCUUCGGCUGACUUUGUAAACUCGAUCUCAAAUCAAGUAAGACUACCCGCUGAACUUAAGCAUAUCAAUAAGCGGAGGA